Long non-coding RNA from Sus scrofa (pig), 1918 nucleotides. RefSeq lists it as uncharacterized. The record is from RefSeq and is a predicted model, not a curated record. Lineage: Eukaryota; Metazoa; Chordata; Mammalia; Artiodactyla; Suidae.
AGACCAGUUCUCGCAGCUGCUGCUGCCCACGGCUCUCCCUGCCGCCGCCACCCCGACCCCUUGAAACAUCAGAUGCCCCAGCCUUCAGUUCAGCACUCCAGCGGGUCAGAGGAACUCCAAGCCAGUCCCCAAACCCUGAAAAAAAGUUUCAUGAAGAAAUGGCGAGAGCAGCUCUGUGAUUACAGCCUUAAUUUUGCUCUGAUUCAACACUGCUCUCCCCUCCGGCAUGAUUAGUCAGAAAGCAAAAUCAAGAUAUAUGCUCGGCGUAUUUAUUUUUGAGAGCAGCAGCAGUGGUUUUGUCAGAGAAACAGACUCAAUACUACCUGCCUUAUGCCAGCGUGCCACAGGAAAACUUCUCAGAGUGGGAUUAUGGGAUCAAAAGUUCUUACCACGUCAAAUUCUAACCCCCAGACAGUUCAAAAGAGAAGACUGAGCCAGAGAGGAGGAAACACCUACCUCCAGUUAUUCAGCCACCUCGUAGCCUGGAACCCAGGUCUCCCAACUCCCAGCCACCGCGGUCCCCACGGCUUAGUCUAUUUAGGAUACGAAGCCUUUCCAGAUAUGGGGAACCCAUCAUUGAUGGAGGCCAUUCGGUUUGUUAUUCUUCUCCCAUUAAAUUAAAGAGACUAUAAAAGUUUUCUAAUAACCAAAUCCUUCAAAAUGAACUGUUUGAAGCCUCUGAAGUCUCACCCUGGGGCAAGACAUUAAAAAGGCUCAAAUAAAUCUCUGCAAAGCCUUUAUAGGAGCCUUAAAACCCAAUUCCACAACAAAAUGCUUGUUUUUAUUAUGAAUUGAGUUUUUAUUAUCAGCACGAAUGCUAACGGUGCUGCUGACAUGGUAAACAGAAAGCAUACGCGCCGUCAUAAAUAUUCACACACCUUUGGCAGAAGUAAUUGUUACCUAGGGCAACAGUUCUGGCCAGUUUCUGAUGGGCACUCCCAGAGAUGUGGGGAAUUCAAAACGUGAGGCGAGCCCUCCACCCUGGCCCCACCACCCACACACAGGAAAAGGCUGGGGCGGGGGCUCCACCUCUGAAGGCCUGGGUGGCCUGUGGGAACACGAAAAGCCCGGGCCGGAAGGAUCCCGUCUGCUUGGGACCGGUGUGCAGAUGGGAGGCAGGAUGGGAAGAUUGAGAUCAUCAGAUGCCACAGGCUGAACCAGCCUGCUUCUUUUUUGUGUUGAUUGAGGUAAAACCCACAUGCCAUAAAAUUCACCAUUGUGAAGUGUAUCGUUCAAUGGCAUUUUGUACAUCUACAAUAUUGUACAACCAUCACCUCUAUCUAGUUCCAGAACCUUUUCAUCACCUAACACAGAAACCCUGUACCCAUUAUGCAGUCACUGCCCCGCCCCAUCCUCCCCUUUCCGCUGCCCUUGGCAACAACUCAUCCACUUUCUGUCCUCAUGGACUUGACCAUUCUCAACAUCUCAUAUUUAUGGAAUAUACAAUAUGUGACCUUUUGUGUCUGGCUUUGUUCACUUAAUUUUUUCAAGGUCCCUCCAUGUUGAAGCCUGUAUGGGUACUUCCCUCUUUUUCAUGGUUGAGUAAUAUUCCAUGGCAUGAAUAUGACACAUUUGGUUUAUCCAUUCAUCAGCUGAUGGACAUUUGCAUUGUUUCUACCUUUUCACAUUUGUGAGUGGUACUUAAGUGGACAUGUGUACACAUGUUUUAAAUAUCUGUUUUUAAUUCUUUUGGACAUAUUCCUAGGAGUAGAAUCGCUGGGUCAUAGAGUAGCUCUGUGUUUAUCUGUUUGAGGAACUGCUAAACUAUUUCCCACACAGGCUGCAUCAUUUUACAUCUCAACCAGCGAUGUACAAAGGUUCCAGUUUCUCUAAAAUCUUGCUAACACUUGCUAUUUUCCAUUCUUAUUAUUAUUUCUCAUUGUGGUUUUGAUUUGAGUUUCCUUAACAACUGAAGAUG